This 243-nucleotide ribosomal RNA is filed under the name uncultured bacterium. RNAcentral describes it as "partial 16S ribosomal RNA". It matches the Rfam family "Bacterial small subunit ribosomal RNA", at positions 109 to 353 of the family's 1533-position model. The record is from RNAcentral.
AGUAAUGUAUGGGGAUCUGCCCGAUAGAGGGGGAUAACUACUGGAAACGGUGGCCAAUACCGCAUAAUGUCUACGGACCAAAGCAGGGGCUCUUCGGACCUUGCACUAUCGGAUGAACCCAUAUGGGAUUAGCUAGUAGGUGGGGUAAAGGCUCACCUAGGCGACGAUCUCUAGCUGGUCUGAGAGGAUGAUCAGCCACACUGGGACUGAGACACGGCCCAGACUCCUACGGGAGGCAGCAUG